GACGACCGCUGGCGGCGUGCUUAACACAUGCAAGCCGAACGGAAAGGCCUGCUUUCCCUUGUGGAUUGCGGGUACUCGAGUGGCGAACGGGUGAGUAACACGUGAGUGAUCUGCCCCCAACUUGGGUAUAAGCCUGGGAAACUGGGUCUAAUUCCCGAUAGGACUGCAGGGUGGUGCCUGUGGUGGAAAACGAUUUUCUAGUGGUUGGGGAUGAGCUCGCGGCCUAUCAGCUUGUUGGUGGGGUAAUGGCCUACCAAGGCGGCGACGGGUAGCCGGCCUGAGAGGGUGGACGGCCACAUUGGGACUGAGAUACGGCCCAGACUCCUACGGGAGGCAGCAGUGGGGAAUAUUGCACAAUGGGCGGAAGCCUGAUGCAGCGACGCCGCGUGGGGGAUGACGGCCUUCGGGUUGUAAACUCCUUUCGACCGCGAGGAAGCCACCUGGUUGGAAGGGUGGUGACGGUAGUGGUAGAAGAAGCACCGGCUAACUACGUG
Molecule: ribosomal RNA, 494 nt
Filed under: uncultured bacterium
Lineage: Bacteria
Description: partial 16S ribosomal RNA
Rfam family: Bacterial small subunit ribosomal RNA
Source: RNAcentral